CAGACGGGUGAGUAACGCGUGAGAAUCUACCCUAAAGUGGAGAAUACCUUCGAGAAAUCGAAGUUAAUACUGCAUACGUCCCUUCGGGGAGAAAGAUGGCUUAUUUUAGCUGUCGCUUAAGGAUGAGCUUGCGUGCUAUUAGCUAGUUGGUAGGGUAAUGGCCUACCAAGGCGAUGAUGGCUAGUCGGCCUGAGAGGGUGUACGACCACACUGGAACUUAGACACGGUCCAGACUCCUACGGGAGGCAGCAGUGAGGAAUAUUGCGCAAUGGGCGAAAGCCUGACGCAGCGACGCCGCGUGAAGGAUGAAGGUCUUCGGAUUGUAAACUUCUGUUAAGUGGGAAGAAAGACUCGUCUCUAAUACAGACGAGGGAUGACUGUACCAUUAAAGAAAGCACCGGCUAACUUCGUGCCAGCAGCCGCGGUAAUACGAAGGGUGCUAGCGUUAUUCGGAAUUAUUGGGCGUAAAGGGCGCGUAGGUGGCAUGUUAAGUUUGCUGUUAAAUCUUCCAGCCUAACUGGAAAACUGCAGCAAAAACUGGCAAGCUAGAGUGUAAGAGAGAGAAGUGGAAUUCUCGGAGUAGCGGUAAAAUGCGUAGAUCUCGAGAGGAACACCGAUGGCGAAGGAGCUUCUUGGCUUACUACUGACACUGAUGCGCGAAAGCGUGGGGAGCAAACGGAUUAGAUACCCUGGUAGUCCACGCUGUAAACGAUGAUCACUAGAUGUUAGUUCUGGUUAGCAGAAUUAGUGUCGCAGUAACGCGUAAGUGAUCCGCCUGGGAAGUACGGUCGCAAGGCUUAAACUCAAAGGAAUUGACGGGGGUCCGCACAAGCGGUGGAACAUGUGGUUUAAUUCGAUACUACGCGAGAAACCUUACCUAGGCUUGACAUGCUUUUGACAUCCGUGGAAACACGGCUUUCCAAGUUCGCUUGGACAAUUGCACAGGUGCUGCAUGGCUGUCGUCAGCUCGUGUCGUGAGAUGUUUGGUUAAGUCCUCUAACGAGCGCAACUCUUGCCGUUAGUUGCUAUCCUUCGGGAGCACUCUAGCGGGACUGCCUGGGAAACCAGGAGGAAGGUGGGAAUGACGUCAAGUCCUCAUGGCCCUUAUGUCUAGGGCUACACACGUGUUACAAUGGCUGGUA
Molecule: ribosomal RNA, 1142 nt
Filed under: uncultured bacterium
Lineage: Bacteria
Description: bacterial SSU rRNA
Rfam family: Bacterial small subunit ribosomal RNA
Source: RNAcentral